CCCGAACCUGUCUUAGCAAUGGCAACUAUAUCUCUGCUCUGUAAAGCAAUUGGCCAUGAUUGUGCCUGAAUUGGAGUUGGGGCAGAGAACCCUGCAUUGUGUACCUCUCUCAGAAUCUCAGAAGGAAAUCCGGUAUCUUCAAAUGAUGUAAGAGGCGGAGGCACUUCAUCUCCAGUAACAGUAAUUUCAUGCCGACGACGAUAAGCCUCUGCAGAAAGAAUGCUCCCUCCAGCUGAAGAACCAUGUCCUCUAGCAGAAGAUCCAGAAGGUCCAUUACUUGUUCCACCUGGAACAUUUUGAGAUUGAACUGCUCCACCUCUUGCAACCUGGCCACUCUUUGCUCCAGCAUCAAAUUUUGAUCCAGCAUUAUUGCCUCUGCCAUACCUAUCAUCUUCUUUAACAGGGCCAUAUCCAUAGCGAGAAGAUUGCUGAACUUGAACUGAUGAACUUAUGGGCACUGAAGAAGACUUUGAUGGAUGAGCUGAGACAGUAGGCCUCUCAUACUGAGUGACAUUAGUCUCAGGAUUCCAAAAAUAAAGGUACCCAGUUUUGCCAUCAACUAAACCUCUCCAAGGUUUGGGGAGAGUAGGGUCCUCUGGUGCAUAUCGUGGACCAGCUGAGGAAGCAGUUGCGGUAGCAGCCAUUGCACAGGAACCCACCAACACAACCCAGACGAUAUGGUUUCGAUGGAGGAGGAGAGAAGGAAUCGAAGCAAGAAAUGCGUUGGUCCUUUCAACGUAAUAAUAGAACUUCAC
This 755-nucleotide unclassified non-coding RNA is filed under the name Hevea brasiliensis (rubber tree). Lineage: Eukaryota; Viridiplantae; Streptophyta; Magnoliopsida; Malpighiales; Euphorbiaceae. The record is from RNAcentral.